Molecule: transfer RNA, 46 nt
Filed under: Haplomitrium hookeri
Lineage: Eukaryota; Viridiplantae; Streptophyta; Haplomitriopsida; Calobryales; Haplomitriaceae
Also listed under: 2 other names
Description: partial tRNA-Phe
Source: RNAcentral
CCGGGAUAGCUCAGUCGGUAGAGCAGAGGACUGAAAAUCCUCGUGU